Long non-coding RNA from Cyprinus carpio (common carp), 3993 nucleotides. RefSeq lists it as uncharacterized. NCBI's taxonomy places the organism in Eukaryota, Metazoa, Chordata, Actinopteri, Cypriniformes, Cyprinidae. The record is from RefSeq and is a predicted model, not a curated record.
CACGUCUAGCAGGUUGAAGAGCUGCUGUCCGGAUUACCUGUCCGAAAUGUAGGUUUCCCUCAGGUAUUAGCUCGAGGAGGAUAUUUGUGAUGAUCUGAUUCUGAGUGAGUCUGAAAUGAACAGAGAAGCAGCGCGCGCGCACGCGCGACAUAGAGGGAGUUGCGCGCUCUGAGAAUGCGUUUUUGGUUUGGAAAGCCUUUGGCAAUGGCCGGAUAAAUGUCUCAUUUUUGACGUGCUUGGCUACACCUUGCGUUUUAUUCAUAAUAUGACAACAGACAGAAGUGUUCUGAACUGUAUUUAGACAGAAAUACCGCGUUGUGUUUGUUCAUCAAGAAGAAAAUUGCGCGCAAUGCGUAACAUGGAGCAGCUCCAGUGGAUCACAAGAAACAUGCGCAGCUAUUUUCCACACAGGGAUGGCAGAAUCGUGUCCAUAUGAUUGCCUCUCAGACUUGACAUUAGAGUCUUUGCAAACGUUUCUGGCUGAUGACGUGAAAUGACGCAGAACAAGACUGAAGAUCUGUCUUCAAAGGCAUUGCCUGCAUGUCAAGUUGGCCACUUCCCUUGGACAGGCAGCCAAGAGAUCAAGACCCAACAAUUACAGACCAUCUUUAUCAAGCCAAAGCACAAAAAUACAACAUCUUCCUGUGUUUUUCCAACCAAUGUGAGUAUUUUAAAGAGUCUGAAGCCCAUUUGGAGUAGCUCACUUCAGCCAGCUGCUGUCUGCCCUGUUAUAGCUCCCCCUAGCAGCUGCCUCCAUAUUUCCUUGUUCAUGCUAACCAUGAAAUCUAUUCUCACCCUAUACAGACACCAUUCCAAGACCUGUAAAAAUCCAUAUACUGGCAUGCAUUAGGUCCAAUGUACAUCCCAAUGAGCCCAUCCAUCCAUUAGUGGCCUGGCAAUUGGAAAACACAGCUCCUCUUACCUCUUAAGAUUGCUACCUCCUCUCCAAAGUCCCAAUCCCGACUGUACUUCUUCUUCCCAGCAAACACUGCAAAAGAGGCUCUUCCAUUUUAGCUCAAUAUGGAGGGGUGUUCAAACUGGACUAUACCAUUUAAACUGGUGUACAGAUGGCCCUGGGGCCUCAAAAAUGGCCCUUUGGCCACCAUAUAAUGCAAGUCUCCACUUGCUCCAUUGCAGAGGCAUAUAUGAACCCCUAUUGACCAGCCCCCUCCUCAAGCCACAGAUGACCUCCCCCAAUGAUAUUCAAAUAUUUCAGGCUUCCAACAGUCAGAUAGUCUAUACAGAGAGCCGACUGUCACUUCUGGAGGCAGCUGAGGGCGCAGACAGGCUCUAAACAGGCCAGCUGCCAAGCUCUGUCAUUGGGUACAACUGGUGCAAGCUAUUCAUGAGGGACUUUUUAUUAAAAUAAAGCUUUAAAUAAUUAAUUAAAGGUUAGAAUGAACCAAAUGGAUUAAAAUAGGGGAUUGAAAUAUGAGCCAUCUAUUGCAUAUGCUGGCACAGAGUUAAAAAGGACACCUUUCCAAUGGUGUCAAUAUGUUUCCAAAUAGGACACCUGUUCCUAGCAUUUAAAAAAAAGCUGCAAUGAGCCUUAAAAAUAAAUUUUAAGGUACAUUGAUCAACAGGUAUAUACGUAUGGAUUUGAGUCCAACCAGUGCUGAUUCAUUGUUUCAUAACAAUAUGAAAUGCCUCUUUAUCAUCAUUUCCGAUGGCAGACAUUUCCAAGUCACUUUUCCUUUAAAGUCAACAAAUAUGCUUUAAAAAGAGCUGUUUAAUUAUCUCUUUAAUGUAUGAACCAGCAUACUAUAACAAUAAUCAUCCAAUGAAAUGAGAAAUUAUAAACAGCCAGUUGAAUUUCUGAUCGUGCUUCAUAUCAUGCUGUAACUUGCAAGUAAUUUAUGUUUGUUCUAGACAUACUGACAGACAAAAGCAGGCCAUUUUGUCUGCAAAAUGGUGCAAACGCUGGAUAUGCAUUUUAAUUGUGAUGGUUAGAAUAUUCUGACAUCUCAAAAUAUAAUGUCUGCUAAAACUAAAAAUAACUCCCGUAGAAGUCAACAUUUGUCUGAGUGCACAGAGGUGUGAAGUCACAGGAUGAGUAUGUAAGGUCACAGCUGUUUCAAAGAAGUCAUCAGGGUUUUCAAAGACACAUUUUUAGACCUGUAACAAGCUUUUGUUUUUAUUUUUUUUUGUCUGUAAUUUAAUUUUUUGCUCUGUCUGGCUCACAUUUCUUAUAUUUGCAUAUUUAUCUGAUAAUUAAUGUAGUUUAGAAAUUUUGAAUGUCAAAUAGCCUACAAAGACUGCUAUAGUUUUUACCCAGUAGGGAGGUUUGUAUUUUAAAUAUAUUUUGUGCAUACAUCAUUUGUAAGCAUGAAUUUACUGCUUUAAAAUCGUUGUUCAUCUGAACAUUUAUUCAUAAUGUUAAACAUAUAUAAGACACUGCAAUUCAAAAGAGCCAAUAAAACACAGUGUAGUCAUCCUCUCAAUUUAAUCAAAUUAAGUCUACACAGUCUCGUGUUGUAGGCUACGUUCUUUUGUGAGUCCAGAAGUACACAGGUAAGUCUUACAACCCUCCAAAUCAGCUCAUACAUUAUUUAUUUAUUCAUUCAUUUUUUACAUGUAGAUGAAAACCUUGCGUGAUAUAUAAAACAAAAGCACCUGUAAAUUAAGAUGGUGGUGGUCCUACAGGCUAGCAAUUUUACCCCGUUCCUGAUUUUUAACUGGGUAAACUGGGGUUGUUACAACAAUCAUCGGUGCAGUAGCGGUGUAUACUUUAGCUUUAAGCAUGCUUAGAAACUAAACGGAACGAACUAAUAAAAACGCUUAACGGCGAUGCGCAAAAACUGAAGGAAAAAUGUCAGGCGCAGCAAACCAGAGAGCGCGGGUAUGAUGUUUUGAUAAAACAGAAAUUAUUGGGAACAUUUACAAUGCAUUGAGUCAUUUAAACAUUUAAAAUGCGCAUAGUAUCAGAGCGAACACUAUCCAACACACCAGUGUAGUAUUAUUUUCAGACAGGCAUCCGUUAACGGCCCCGACGCCACGCGUUGUUAUCCCAAACAACAAUAGUGCAGCAUCACGAGCCACGGCCUGGGAAGCAGCUAACUGAUCUAAUGCGAAACAUCGCGAAAUCGUCUGUAAAUGUUUGCUUGAUUAUUGAGUCUGAUAUGACGCCAAGAAUCAAGACAACAUAUAAAGGUAUGAUAAAAACAUAAAUAUCAAACCGAGACUCACAGACUGGCUUAAUGUUCAUGGGUUGCUUUCAGAGAUUUCUCGUUCGCCAGUAGGUUUACUUUUGAUGAACGUCAGGCCUAAUAUACAUAUAGCCUAUGUGUACCUACUUAACCAUAUUCAUUUUUAUAUAAUGAACUGGGUGCAUUUGUAUAAUAAAAAAACUGAGGUCAGACAUUAAUUAAAUCUUACACAUAAAUGCAAUAGCUAAACUUACCUGUAAGUCCAGGCAAGCAUGUUGAUUUAAAAGAGUCUUGCAUGAAAGAUUGUUUUACUAUUUUACGGCUUAUGUCUGAAAUGAAGAGUAAAAAAAAAGUUUAUGGCCAUACAAUACAGUUUUUUUUUUUUUUUUUUUUUUGUAAGUUUCUUCUUAUUACAAAACCUGCAGUAAUACAGUUAUUGUAAUAAUUGUAAUAUUGCCUAUUGGCAAUAAUCUGUCAGAUUACCAGAUGAACAAGAUAUAAGUGUUCAUUAACAGUCCCAGAGGGUGAUAGCAAGAUAUUAAAGUUUCUUAAAAUGUUUUUCUGUUAAGUAUCAAGUCUAAGAAUUUAUUAAUGCUUUAUAUUGAUUUAAAAUAAAAAACAUUUUGAAAGCUCCUGACUGAAACAACGCCUUUUCUACCACAUAAUGUUGUUAAUAAAGCCAAACCCUGGAUAAGCUUAUAUUCAACACCAGAUUAUAGUAGUAAUCACAGAGCUGUGUAACACUUUCAAUAUUAUAAUGCUGAGAUAAAAUACAUUUUUUAUAAUACAUAUUAUGACACUUGAAAUACUGAGCUGUGAAAUGCCAAAUAAAGCCUGUUCCACCUUA